AGCAGCCGCGGUAAUUCCAGCUCCAAUAGCGUAUAUUAAAGUUGUUGCAGUUAAAAGCUCGUAGUUGAAUUUCGGGAUCAAUAUGUUGGUCGUGCCCUCGGUACGUCACUGGCAUCAUUGAUUUCUACCUUCUGAUGAACCAUGAUGCCAUUAAUUUGGUGUCAUGGGGAAUCAGGACUGUUACUUUGAAAAAUUAGAGUGUUUAAAGCAGGCUCACGCUUGAAUACAUUAGCAUGGAGUAAUGAAAUAGGACGUUUGAUUCUAUUUUGUUGGUUUCUAGGAUCGACGUAAUGAUUAAUAGGGAUAGUUGGGGGCAUUAGUAUUCAAUUGUCAGAGGUGAAAUUCUUGGAUUUAUUGAA
Molecule: unclassified non-coding RNA, 359 nt
Filed under: uncultured Glomus
Lineage: Eukaryota; Fungi; Glomeromycota; Glomeromycetes; Glomerales; Glomeraceae
Description: SSU rRNA
Rfam family: Eukaryotic small subunit ribosomal RNA
Source: RNAcentral